AUAACACGGGACCAAGUCAUCAAGGACUAUAACUAGAAUUUUUAAGCAUAUAUAUGGAUUUUUUAUGUAAUGGAGGAAGGACGUCGCCUAUUAUCCUGAGGAUGAGCUAUUCCAGGAAUCUACACACCAAUAGGGGCUGCGCGAUUCCGGACUGAUUUUGCAUCGUACUCGCAAAACAAAUAUUUGAAUAUGCAUCGAAUUAUAUGCAUACCAAAUUACACAUCGAAGUAUAUAUUUAUAUCAGGAGAUACUAAACUAAAUAUGGAAUCAUAUUAUCAUAGCCCGAUAAACUAAAUUACACUUUGAACUAUAUAAUUGUACAGUUAACUCUUAAUAUUGUAACACACAUCGAAUCACGUAUAUCAGUCAAGAUUUAUUGAUUAACAAGAAAAUGGAAAUACAUAUGGAAUGCAUUAAAAAAAACUAGAUCGCUUAA
Long non-coding RNA from Drosophila takahashii, 436 nucleotides. RefSeq lists it as uncharacterized. Lineage: Eukaryota; Metazoa; Arthropoda; Insecta; Diptera; Drosophilidae. The record is from RefSeq and is a predicted model, not a curated record.